Molecule: long non-coding RNA, 1169 nt
Organism: Meriones unguiculatus (Mongolian gerbil)
Lineage: Eukaryota; Metazoa; Chordata; Mammalia; Rodentia; Muridae
Exons: 2
Source: RefSeq, a predicted model, not a curated record
CGCACAGCAAUGGGGUGGAGGAAGAGAAGGGAGAGAGAAGACAAAGGGAGGAGGAGAAAGAAAGGUCACAGGGCUGAGCAAUACACCAUUAGCCUCCCACUUGGACAACCCUCGGUCGCAUACAUUGCGAUCACUGUUGCCUAGGUUACAUCUCAGCAACCUGAAGCCAAUUCUGCCCAAACCCUGACUCUACUGACGCCUACAGAAAUCAGCUGGAUGACUAAAAUCUCUUUCUACUGUCUGUCUGCUCUGUGGCCUGAGGGUGUUGACGUCUUCUGGCAAGCACGCUAGCCUGGUACUUGGUGGGCUAACCCUGAGCCACACUCACUCAGCAACUGCUGGGUUCCAGCUGGCAUUGUCAUACUGCACGGAGUUCUGGCCUCACCACCGAACUCUUAACACCUGAGCUGACAAAAAGCACAGGAAGGAGAAAGAAGAAACACAGACUCACUCCAGUGGGCCGUCUCAAGAAAGCAUUGCUCAGGAGUGGAAGGACCUGGGAAAGAAAGAAACCCAUUGUAUACGCUUAGAAUACCACUCCUAACCCAGAGCAGGCUGAAGUCAGCACUCACAAACACUGGGAUAGAGGUCUCCUUGUACCAGAUUAAGAUUAACCUGUCCCUGCUCAGAGUGACAGUGUCCUGGUUAGUUUGUAAAAACUUUUUCAACAAGAUACACGCUAUUCGGGAGGCUAAGGCAGGAGUAACGUACGUUCAAAGCCUGCUUGGGCUACAUGGCCAGUUUGAGGACCAUCUGGGCAGGUCAGUGAGAGCCUGUCUCAAAAUAAAAGGGGAAGAAAGGGGCUGGAGACCUAACUCUGGCAGAGCCUGACCUAGCAAGUGGGAGUUCACUCUCUAGUGUUACACGGCAGAACAAGCACCACCCAAGGGUGUCAAAGCUGCAUCAAAGUGCAAUAGCAUCGAAAGCAUCAGUCCACAGCAACACUGAGACUGACUGGCUGAAAACCCCUUCUACAUCUACUGCUGUGAUCCCUGGGUGACGUCAACCUUUUCCCCAAGAAAGUAUCAAGUCUUCCCUUUCACUUCUGAUUAAAAUAAAUGACAAAGACAUAUUCAUUAUAAUAAGUGUCUUGAACAAUUUGUCUCUUAAUAAAGAAUCUUCUUGACAGACAUGAUCUGUCUGAGCAAAAAGAAAAAAAGAAAAGAAAA